GAGGGUAUAGCUCAAGUGGUAGAGUGCAUGCUUAGCAUGCACGAGGUCCUGGGUUCAAUCCUCAUUACCUCCA
RNAcentral lists this transfer RNA (73 nucleotides) under Camelus bactrianus (Bactrian camel). It matches the Rfam family "tRNA". Rfam says of the family: Transfer RNA (tRNA) molecules are approximately 80 nucleotides in length. Their secondary structure includes four short double-helical elements and three loops (D, anti-codon, and T loops). Further hydrogen bonds mediate the characteristic L-shaped molecular structure. tRNAs have two regions of fundamental functional importance: the anti-codon, which is responsible for specific mRNA codon recognition, and the 3' end, to which the tRNAs corresponding amino acid is attached (by aminoacyl-tRNA synthetases). tRNAs cope with the degeneracy of the genetic code in two manners: having more than one tRNA (with a specific anti-codon) for a particular amino acid; and 'wobble' base-pairing, i.e. permitting non-standard base-pairing at the 3rd anti-codon position. RNAcentral also lists the same sequence under 1 other name. The record is from Rfam by way of RNAcentral. Lineage: Eukaryota; Metazoa; Chordata; Mammalia; Artiodactyla; Camelidae.